UAAGACGAAGGGGGCUAGCGUUGUUCGGAAUUACUGGGCGUAAAGCGCGCGUAGGCGGUUUUCCAAGUCAGGCGUGAAAGCCCCGGGCUCAACCCGGGAACUGCGCUUGAUACUGUGAGACUUGAGACCGGGAGAGGAUAGUGGAAUUCCCAGUGUAGAGGUGAAAUUCGUAGAUAUUGGGAAGAACACCAGUGGCGAAGGCGGCUAUCUGGACCGGUACUGACGCUGAGGCGCGAAAGCGUGGGGAGCAAACAGGAUUAGAUACCCUGGUAGUCCACGCCGUAAACGAUGAGUGCUAGACGUUGGAGGGCUUGCUCUUCAGUGUCGAAGCUAACGCGAUAAGCACUCCGCCUGGGGAGUACGGCCGCAAGGUUA
RNAcentral lists this ribosomal RNA (375 nucleotides) under uncultured bacterium. RNAcentral's name for it is "bacterial SSU rRNA". It matches the Rfam family "Bacterial small subunit ribosomal RNA", at positions 521 to 896 of the family's 1533-position model. The record is from RNAcentral.